GAAUUUGUGGCGCAACGGUAGCGCAUCUGACUCCGAGUCAGAAGGUUGCGUGUUCGAUUCACGUCAAAUUUU
Papaver somniferum (opium poppy) is the source of this 72-nucleotide non-coding RNA. NCBI's taxonomy places the organism in Eukaryota, Viridiplantae, Streptophyta, Magnoliopsida, Ranunculales, Papaveraceae. The record is from the annotation of a RefSeq genome assembly.